GGUGGACAGUCUUUCUUGGGAGGAGUUUGCAAACGAGUUUGCAGGAUGGGCCUUCCCUGAUAGCUCAAGGGAACAGAAGAUGAUAGAGUUUGAGCAGCUGAGGCAAACGGAUGAAAUGAGUAUUGAUGAGUACACCAACAGGUUCUUGGAGCUGUUGCCUUUUGCUGGGCAGAAUCUGGAUACAGACCAGAAAAAGUCAAGGAGGUACAUCAUGAAGCUCCACUCCAGG
RNAcentral lists this long non-coding RNA (229 nucleotides) under Manihot esculenta (cassava). RNAcentral's name for it is "long non-coding RNA (MESC_LNC003211)". Lineage: Eukaryota; Viridiplantae; Streptophyta; Magnoliopsida; Malpighiales; Euphorbiaceae. The record is from RNAcentral.